RNAcentral lists this long non-coding RNA (217 nucleotides) under Elaeis guineensis (African oil palm). RNAcentral describes it as "long non-coding RNA (EGUI_LNC069645)". The record is from RNAcentral. Lineage: Eukaryota; Viridiplantae; Streptophyta; Magnoliopsida; Arecales; Arecaceae.
UGGUGGGCUCAUGACACUCGUAGCUCACGUUCUCACUUUCCGAACCCUAAGCCAAAACCCUAGGGUACACUCCAAAGAAACUUGCGCCCACUUGUUUCUUUCCUUUUUCUCCUUUUCUUUUCUUUUCUCACACAGGAAAGCUCUCUCACACCACCCUUCUUUCUCAGAUGUCUUCUGCGCAUGCCCUAUCUUAUCUCCUUUUUAAAAUGAUGCAAGA